This 173-nucleotide unclassified non-coding RNA is filed under the name uncultured fungus. RNAcentral describes it as "sequence contains ITS1, 5.8S rRNA gene". The record is from RNAcentral. Lineage: Eukaryota; Fungi.
CCGAGUUUGGGUCCUCCGGGGCUCCUCUCCAACCCGUGUCUAACCACCCCGUUGCUUUGGCGGGCCCGCCCCCUCACAGGGGCCGCCGGGAGCCCCCUGGCCUGCGCCCGCCGGAAGCCCCCCUUCAACCCUUUGAAACCGGUGUAUUCUGAGUCUGCGAUGAGAAUUGACCA